This 462-nucleotide ribosomal RNA is filed under the name uncultured bacterium. RNAcentral's name for it is "bacterial SSU rRNA". It matches the Rfam family "Bacterial small subunit ribosomal RNA", at positions 30 to 518 of the family's 1533-position model. The record is from RNAcentral.
CGAACGCUGGCGGCAUGGAUUAGGCAUGCAAGUUGAACGAACUCCUUCGGGAGUGAGUAGCGGAAGGGUGAGGAACGCGUGAGUAAUCUGCCCCCCAGUUGGGAAUAACAGUUGGAAACGACUGCUAAUACCGAAUGUGGCUUAAGCUUCGCCUGGAGCUUUGGCUAAAGAUUUAUCGCUGGGGGAUGAGCUCGCGUCCCAUUAGGUAGUUGGUGAGGUAACGGCUCACCAAGCCGACGAUGGGUAGCUGGUCUGAGAGGAUGGUCAGCCACACUGGGACUGAGACACUGCCCAGACUCCUACGGGAGGCUGCAGUCGAGAAUCUUGGGCAAUGCGCGAAAGCGUGACCCAGCAAUGCCGCGUGUAUGAUGAAGGCCCUCGGGUCGUAAAGUACUGUCUCCCGUGACGAAAUUUGACGGUAGCGGGGAAGGAAGCCACGGCUAACUACGUGCCAGCCGCCGC